AUGAACACGUGCACUUUGUGUCUUUCUUGGAUCAGCUGCUGUUUGAUAUCAAGCCUUCUAAAGUGCUGCUGUAGCACCAGUCCAAACAACCCCACACUCAUCAGAUUUUCCCUCUGGCUUUAUCCCUGCAGCAGGUGUCCAUCACAGACAAAAAAGAAAAGGAGGGAAAAGGCAAGAAGAGCCUGUCAGAAAAAUGGAAGGAGAAGCUGGAGCCAGUCCUGGUCAGUCCCCCUUUAGAAAAUCCUGUUUAGUGUGACUUGAACUGGCAGGUGAGGGAGCUUCACUCUGAGGCCUGCACAGUGUGGGGCUUUGGCAGUUUUCUGCAGGUUUGCUAGUGAAACUGACUUUGACAGAAGGAGAUGGAAAACAAUUCAAAAGGACAAAGCCGCAAAUGAGGUAAUAGGAAAAUAAAAUGAUGAGAAGAGGAAAGAACCUCUGAAAG
This 442-nucleotide long non-coding RNA is filed under the name Cyanistes caeruleus (blue tit). Its description in RNAcentral is "lncRNA (ENSCCEG00000014185.1)". The record is from RNAcentral. Lineage: Eukaryota; Metazoa; Chordata; Aves; Passeriformes; Paridae.